UAAGCUUGGUGCUACCUCUUUUCUUUUGUUUGUUAUUUUCUUUGAAUAAGAAAAUUGAGAGUUUUUGAAUAUUAUGAAGUGAAUUAUGGAAUGGAAAUAAGAUUGGUAUUAUUUGAAAAGAAGAAAGAUUGAAUGCUGAAAUCUAAUUAUAGUUGAGCAGAGAGAAUGAGUCUAUAUUUGUGUGAAAUACCGUAAUGUGAAUGGCAGUUCUGUGUGAAGAAUUCUAGUGAUUGGAAUGAGGAUAAUUGUGUGCUGAAAGCUGUGAGGGCUUAGUAUUACAGUUGGAGAUUAUGAGGGUGAAUAUAUUGGUGGAAAUAGUAGUUAUUGGUAUGACUGAAUUACUGUAAGGAAGAAACCGAUAAGGUGAAGGAAGAGAUUAUAGUUUCCUUAUGUGUUUAGAUAUUGGAAAU
RNAcentral lists this long non-coding RNA (410 nucleotides) under Physcomitrium patens. RNAcentral describes it as "long non-coding RNA (PPAT_LNC007642)". The record is from RNAcentral. Lineage: Eukaryota; Viridiplantae; Streptophyta; Bryopsida; Funariales; Funariaceae.